UGGUAGACGCACUGGAUUUAGGUUCCAGCGCCGCAAGGUGUAAGAGUUCGAGUCUCUUCGCCCCCACCA
This 69-nucleotide transfer RNA is filed under the name Acinetobacter baumannii. RNAcentral's name for it is "tRNA-OTHER". It matches the Rfam family "tRNA", at positions 16 to 71 of the family's 71-position model. Rfam says of the family: Transfer RNA (tRNA) molecules are approximately 80 nucleotides in length. Their secondary structure includes four short double-helical elements and three loops (D, anti-codon, and T loops). The record is from RNAcentral. Lineage: Bacteria; Pseudomonadati; Pseudomonadota; Gammaproteobacteria; Moraxellales; Moraxellaceae.